This 274-nucleotide ribosomal RNA is filed under the name Glomus sp. (unid). The record is from RNAcentral. Lineage: Eukaryota; Fungi; Glomeromycota; Glomeromycetes; Glomerales; Glomeraceae.
CAGUCGUACUAACGGGAAAUCAACCUAUUUGAGUUUGUGAGGUUUGGAUUCCGAAGAGUGUAAACCUUCGGGUUCGAAUAUUUGCUGCUUUUAGGCGUAAUUUCUCGUUCGGUAGGUUAACAUCGAUUUUGAAGAUUAUAAAAUGACCGGAGGAAUGUGGCUUCGAUCUCGUAUUGAAGUGUUAUAGCCUUUGGUAGAUGUAAUGGUCAAGAUCGAGGAUUGCAACGGAUACCCUUCGGGGCUACCCUGUCUGAUCUCUGAUCGUUGCUCUGGU